GUAGCCUAAAAAGGGAUUUGUGCAAAAGAAGGAAAAGAAGAGAUUGAGAAAGAGGGUGUGAGAAAAAACGUGGCAGAGAGAAUGAUACAAUAACUACCAGCUAAUGUCCACUCUGUCCUUAAGAUUUGAACAGAAUCAUGAUACUUUCUGCAUACUUGGCCAGCUAUUUAUGGUUUUAAUUAUUGCAGAAGUUAAGAAAGUAGACUUUGCAAUUUACCGGUGUCACAACUCCCACAAUACAAUAUGCUACAGUUGUUUUUGCAACUAGAUAUCACACUGGGGAAAAAAUUAAGAACAUCCGUGUUUCAAACACUUCCAGAAGGAAAAAAGAAAUGGUACCUCUCCUCUUGCACAGUGAAAUUCCCUAGCAAGCUUUUUCAUGGUAAUACAGAGUUCCAGUCUCUCUGUCACAUGAGUGGGGAUUAAAGGGCUUAUCUGAAACAUCCACAUUCUCUUAGCAUUUAUAACAGACACGAAGUCCAUCUUAGCAGCUUGAGGGCUUUCUUUCAAAACAUGCUAGAAUCUCAUCUCUUAGUGAAUUCAUAAAUGCUUUUUGACACACAAUGUUUUUUAUCAGCAAAGUCAAAACAAUCUGUCAUUACUUUGUAUGAAAAACAAUGAAAACAAAAUGAAGCCUUUUUGGGGGAAUAUGGUUACUAACUUGUAGAUACGGAACAUAUAAUUUUCUUUUCAGCAACGUAAGGCUGCUUACCAACAUGAGAUUAGACCAUCUGCCCUUGAGUGGAUUCUGACACAUGGUGACCCCAGGAACGACUGCAGUACCAAGAUAGACCAUAGAGAAUGGACUAACAGAAUUGGAACCCCAGGAACCUCCAAGAGUUUUCAUGUGUGGUGACAAAAUUCCAGCAUGCUCUCCUGAAGUCCCAAACAAAUCUCUGACUAGCCUGCUAUGAAUGAAGCUUUACUCCCACAGCAUUAUGAAAGCAAACACAAGCCCAGGGUCAAGUGCUUCUUUUGUUCCAGAAGUUCUUUCCCACGAGUUCAAUCUUGCCAUUAGCAUUGAUUUCCACAGCUUUAAUCUGGGACCGCCUAUCUCAGCUUGUUAAAGAGCGGUUCAGCUAUCAUUUCCUUACAAUAUUAGAUGGAAAAGAUGAAAAGGGAAAAG
Molecule: long non-coding RNA, 1126 nt
Organism: Loxodonta africana (African savanna elephant)
Lineage: Eukaryota; Metazoa; Chordata; Mammalia; Proboscidea; Elephantidae
Exons: 3
Source: RefSeq, a predicted model, not a curated record